AGAGUUUGAUCAUGGCUCAGAAUGAACGCUGGCGGCGUGCUUUACACAUGCAAGUCGAGCGAGGCGUGUAGCAAUACACAGUCGAGCGGCGAACGGGUGAGUAACACGUGGAUUAUCUACCCUAAGGUGGGGAACAACCCGGGGAAACUCGGGCUGAUACCGCAUGAUACCGAAAGGUCAAAGGGGGCUCGCAAGGGCUUCCGCCAUAGGAGGAGUCUGCGUCCGAUUAGCUAGUUGGUAGGGUAAUGGCCUACCAAGGCGACGAUCGGUAGCCGGCCUGAGAGGGUGAUCGGCCACACUGGAACUGAGACACGGUCCAGACUCCUACGGGAGGCAGCAGUGGGGAAUUUUGCGCAAUGGGCUAACGCCUGACGCAGCAACGCCGCGUGGAGGAUGAAGGUCCUUGGAUUGUAAACUCCUGUCAGCAGGGAAAAAGCAACUCGGUCUAAUACACCGGGGAGUUGAUUGUACCUGCAGAGGAAGCCCCGGCUAACUCUGUGCCAGCAGCCGCGGUAAUAC
This 519-nucleotide ribosomal RNA is filed under the name uncultured bacterium. Its description in RNAcentral is "bacterial SSU rRNA". It matches the Rfam family "Bacterial small subunit ribosomal RNA", at positions 8 to 526 of the family's 1533-position model. The record is from RNAcentral.